CGAACGAUGAACCCACUUCGGUGGGGGAUUAGUGGCGAACGGGUGAGUAACACGUGGGCAAUCUGCCCUUCACUCUGGGACAAGCCCUGGAAACGGGGUCUAAUACCGGAUACCACCGUCUCGGGCAUGCUAGGUGGUGAAAAGCUCCGGCGGUGAAGGAUGAGCCCGCGGCCUAUCAGCUUGUUGGUGGGGUAAUGGCCUACCAAGGCGACGACGGGUAGCCGGCCUGAGAGGGCGACCGGCCACACUGGGACUGAGACACGGCCCAGACUCCUACGGGAGGCAGCAGUGGGGAAUAUUGCACAAUGGGCGAAAGCCUGAUGCAGCGACGCCGCGUGAGGGAUGACGGCCUUCGGGUUGUAAACCUCUUUCAGCAGGGAAGAAGCGAAAGUGACGGUACCUGCAGAAGAAGCGCCGGCUAACUACGUGCCAGCAGCCGCGGUAAUACGUAGGGCGCAAGCGUUGUCCGGAAUUAUUGGGCGUAAAGAGCUCGUAGGCGGCUUGUCACGUCGGAUGUGAAAGCCCGGGGCUUAACCCCGGGUCUGCAUUCGAUACGGGCAGGCUAGAGUGUGGUAGGGGAGAUCGGAAUUCCUGGUGUAGCGGUGAAAUGCGCAGAUAUCAGGAGGAACACCGGUGGCGAAGGCGGAUCUCUGGGCCAUUACUGACGCUGAGGAGCGAAAGCGUGGGGAGCGAACAGGAUUAGAUACCCU
RNAcentral lists this ribosomal RNA (710 nucleotides) under Streptomyces sp. RNAcentral describes it as "bacterial SSU rRNA". It matches the Rfam family "Bacterial small subunit ribosomal RNA", at positions 63 to 788 of the family's 1533-position model. Lineage: Bacteria; Bacillati; Actinomycetota; Actinomycetes; Kitasatosporales; Streptomycetaceae. The record is from RNAcentral.